This 1580-nucleotide long non-coding RNA is filed under the name Salvia miltiorrhiza (redroot sage). RNAcentral's name for it is "long non-coding RNA (SMIL_LNC000938)". The record is from RNAcentral. Lineage: Eukaryota; Viridiplantae; Streptophyta; Magnoliopsida; Lamiales; Lamiaceae.
UUAGGGCUGGCAAAUCGUGCGUGUCGGAUCGUUAUCGGGUCGACCUGAUAUCGACCCGACCUGUUAAGGCCAAACCUGAACACGACCUGUUAAGGAAUUGCUCGACACGAACCCGAACCCGACACGAUUUACUCAAACCCGAACACGACACGAACCCGACACGAACCCGAUAGCAACACGAUUUAAAUCGGGUUGACACGAUACGAUAACGACACGAUAUGCUUAUAACCUGAAUUUGACCUGAUUAAACACGAACACAAUAAUUACACGAAUUUGACCUGAUUAAAACAACACAAUAAUAAUACAAUAAUAUGUGAAUUACAUAUCAAAUUAACCACUGAACAGAUUCAUGGUUUGAAAAAACAAUGAAAUUUAAAAGCUCACAUAAUAAGUCCCAUUCAUCAACAUAAAUCAUAGGUUGAGUCCAACAAAAUAAAAGUCUAGCAACAUAAAAAUAUCGCCAUCUAGUGAAGUGUUUCAAGUUCAACAAAAUAAAAGUCUAACAACAUAAAAAUAUCGCCAUCUAGUGAAGUGUUUCAAGUUCAACAAAAUAAAAGUCUAACAACAUAAAAAUAUCGCCAUCUCGAAAAUAAAUACAAGCAGAGUUAUUAUCAUUGAUUUUCCUUUUCAAUCAUCUUCAUAAUAUAUGAACACCAGCAAUUACAAUUCAAUACCAAUCGAUUAACUGUAACACAACCAUUAUUAAUCUUGACGUCCACAAAAACAUCCAGAUCAUGAGAGAGAGAGAGAAUCAGAGACGGAAGACUCGGAACCAGCGAAACACAUAAAACUCAGCAAAGCAUAGUUCCUAAUACAAGAGGAGAAUCUCUGCAAACCAUUAACACAAAUUUUGCAAGUGAAACACAUAAAACUAAAGGGUUUAUCACAUCAAGAUCCAUUAGUGCCUUCUCCCAUGCCUCCUGCUCUUACCCUUCUUCCGACGACUCCUCUCCUCCGAAUCAGAGUCGGAACCAGAAUCCGACUAUGAGGACUCAGACGACGAGAAGUAACUCCGAUGCCUCCUCUUCCUCUGCUUCUUCUUCUUGCUCCUCCUCUCCUCCGCGCCGACUGGAACUUUGGGAGAGAGGCGGCGAAGAGGGAGCCGUGAGAUUCGACAGUGGGAUGGGGCGGCGACUCGAAGAAGGGCUGCGCCGGGCCGUCGUCGUCGAUGUGGCUGUGACUUGAGAGUCGACGUCGAGUGCGGGCGGCGGGGCGGGGCAGUGCGGCGGCGGGCGGCGGAGUUGGAACUUGGAAGAAUGGAAAUUGGAAGGGAGUCAAGGGACGAAACGGGUGUGCGGCGGGGAAAUUGGAAGGGAUGAAUGAUAUGAAACCCUACUAACCUAAAGUAAACUAAGAAAAUAAAAAUUUAAAAUUUAAAAUAAAUGUUUAAUAAAAAUAAUAAUAUUAUUAUCGGGUUACCUGAACCGAACCCGACCCAACCCGAACCCGACCCGAAAUUAUCAGAUCCUUAUCAGGUCGACCCGAUAAGGACCCGAACCUUAUCGUGCGUGUUUCUAACCCAUUAAUUUCGUGCGGUUUCGUGUCGGGUUAUCGUGUCGUGUCGAAAAUUGCCAGCCCUA